GAUGAACGCUGGCGGCGUGCCUAAUACAUGCAAGUCUAGCGAACAGACGAGGAGCUUGCUCCUUUGACGUUAGCGGCGGACGGGUGAGUAACACGUGGAUAACCUACCUAUAAGACUGGGAUAACUUCGGGAAACCGGAGCUAAUACCGGAUAACAUGUUGAACCGCAUGGUUCAACAGUGAAAGACGGUCUUGCUGUCACUUAUAGAUGGAUCCGCGCCGCAUUAGCUAGUUGGUAAGGUAACGGCUUACCAAGGCAACGAUGCGUAGCCGACCUGAGAGGGUGAUCGGCCACACUGGAACUGAGACACGGUCCAGACUCCUACGGGAGGCAGCAGUAGGGAAUCUUCCGCAAUGGGCGAAAGCCUGACGGAGCAACGCCGCGUGAGUGAAGAAGGUCUUCGGAUCGUAAAACUCUGUUAUUAGGGAAGAACAAAUGUGUAAGUAACUAUGCACGUCUUGACGGUACCUAAUCAGAAAGCCACGGCUAACUACGUG
This 497-nucleotide ribosomal RNA is filed under the name uncultured bacterium. RNAcentral describes it as "partial 16S ribosomal RNA". It matches the Rfam family "Bacterial small subunit ribosomal RNA", at positions 28 to 507 of the family's 1533-position model. The record is from RNAcentral.